GACGCUGGGGUAUUCACAUGAAAGGGAAUGUAGACACCUAAUUUUAUCCCUCCCAAGUUCCAUUUUAUUCAUUUUUAGCUCAUCUUACCACACAUUCUCAUCCAUGUGAUUAUACACCACAAAAAUACAAAAAAAUAACAUCCUUUAAUAUAAUCCCUAAAGAAUUCUAUCUUAUUUUAAUCCUAUCCUAACCAACUUUACACCUCAUCCUAGCAACCUACCCCACCUCACUACCCACGUGACCCUCCCCAUAUUUUUUUUUCUAGAAAAAAGGAUAUACA
Molecule: long non-coding RNA, 281 nt
Filed under: Capsicum annuum
Lineage: Eukaryota; Viridiplantae; Streptophyta; Magnoliopsida; Solanales; Solanaceae
Description: long non-coding RNA (CANN_LNC001560)
Source: RNAcentral